AGUGGCGGACGGGUGAGUAACGCGUGAGGAACCUGCCUUUCAGAGGGGGACAACAGUUGGAAACGACUGCUAAUACCGCAUAACACAUCGGAGUCGCAUGGCUCUGAUGUCAAAGAUUUAUCGCUGAUAGAUGGGCUCGCGUCCGAUUAGAUAGUUGGUGAGGUAACGGCUCACCAAGUCGACGAUCGGUAGCCGGACUGAGAGGUCGAACGGCCACAUUGGGACUGAGACACGGCCCAGACUCCUACGGGAGGCAGCAGUGGGGGAUAUUGCACAAUGGGGGAAACCCUGAUGCAGCGACGCCGCGUGAGGGAAGACGGUCCUCUGGAUUGUAAACCUCUGUCUUCGGGGACGAAACGAGACGGUACCCGAGGAGGAAGCCACGGCUAACUACGUGCCAGCAGCCGCGGUAAUACGUAGGUGGCAAGCGUUGUCCGGAAUUACUGGGUGUAAAGGGAGCGUAGGCGGGCAGGCAAGUCAGGCGUGAAAUAUAUCGGCUCAACCGGUAUCUGCGCUUGAAACUGCAGGUCUUGAGUGAAGUAGAGGUUGGCGGAAUUCCUAGUGUAGCGGUGAAAUGCGUAGAUAUUAGGAGGAACACCAGUGGCGAAGGCGGCCAACUGGGCUUUUACUGACGCUGAGGCUCGAAAGUGUGGGGAGCAAACAGGAUUA
RNAcentral lists this ribosomal RNA (669 nucleotides) under uncultured bacterium. Its description in RNAcentral is "bacterial SSU rRNA". It matches the Rfam family "Bacterial small subunit ribosomal RNA", at positions 94 to 780 of the family's 1533-position model. The record is from RNAcentral.